UAACUAAGCGGAGGAAAAGAAACUAACAAGGAUUCCCCUAGUAAGGGCGACUGAAGCGGGAUCAGCCCAGAUUGUAAACUGACCUUAAUCAAGGUUGGGUUGUAGUCUAAAGAGGCGACGCCAGGCAAGGUCCGGGGAGAAGUCCCUUGGAACAGGGCAUCGGAGAGGGUGACAAUCCCGUCUGUGCCUCGGACCGCGUCGUACGGUGCGUCUUCGACGAGUCGGUUUGCUUGGGAUUGCAGACCAAACGGGUGGUAAAUUCCAUCUAAGGCUAAAUACGGGUGGGAGACCGAUAGCGAACAAGUACCGUGAGGGAAAGAUGCAAAGAACUUUGAAAAGAGAGUUAAAAAGGGCCUGAAACUGGUAAGAGGGAACCGAACGGCAGAAGUGGUGAUGGGCGCGUAUUUUCCGCCGGGCUCUUGGCCGGCGUACUUGUGCGCGUCCGUAGGUCAGCGUGGGUUGGGGCGUGGGAGUCGUUCAUGGGAAGGUCUUCGGGCCAAUCUCGUGUUCAGGCCGCGCCUGAGACCUUCGGUGACAAAAUUCUUCCGUUCACCCCG
Molecule: ribosomal RNA, 557 nt
Filed under: Aureococcus anophagefferens
Lineage: Eukaryota; Pelagophyceae; Pelagomonadales; Pelagomonadaceae
Description: LSU rRNA
Rfam family: Eukaryotic large subunit ribosomal RNA
Source: RNAcentral